RNAcentral lists this unclassified non-coding RNA (230 nucleotides) under plant metagenome. RNAcentral's name for it is "partial contains small subunit ribosomal RNA, internal transcribed spacer 1, and 5.8S ribosomal RNA". The record is from RNAcentral.
UCUCCGUAGGUGAACCUGCGGAGGGAUCAUUACAGAGUUCAUGCCCUCCGGGUAGAUCUCCCACCCAUUGCUAUAACUACUCUCGUUGCUUUGGCGGGCCGCUGGGCCCUGCCCGGCCGCCGGCCCUGGCUGGCGCGUGCCCGCCAGAGAACUCACAAAGUAUGAAUGUUAGUGUCGUCCGAGUAAUUAUACAAUCGUUAAAACUUUCAACAACGGAUCUCUUGGUUCUG